RNAcentral lists this unclassified non-coding RNA (327 nucleotides) under soil metagenome. RNAcentral's name for it is "partial contains 5.8S ribosomal RNA, internal transcribed spacer 2, and large subunit ribosomal RNA". The stretch from base 1 to 120 matches the Rfam family "5.8S ribosomal RNA", at positions 35 to 154 of the family's 154-position model. The record is from RNAcentral.
GAUGAAGAACGCAGCGAAAUGCGAUAAGUAAUGUGAAUUGCAGAAUUCAGUGAAUCAUCGAAUCUUUGAACGCACAUUGCGCCCCUUGGUAUUCCGAGGGGCAUGCCUGUUCGAGCGUCAUUAUAACCCCUCAAGCUCAGCUUGGUGUUGGGGCCUGCCGCACGGGCAGCCCUUAAAAUCAGUGGCGGUGCUAUCUGGCUCUAAGCGUAGUAAUUCUUCUCGCUAUAGAGUCCCGGUGGAUGCUUGCCAUUAACCCCCAAUUUUCUAUGGUUGACCUCGGAUCAGGUAGGGAUACCCGCUGAACUUAAGCAUAUAAUAAGCGGAGGA